Nothoprocta perdicaria is the source of this 797-nucleotide long non-coding RNA. RefSeq lists it as uncharacterized. NCBI's taxonomy places the organism in Eukaryota, Metazoa, Chordata, Aves, Tinamiformes, Tinamidae. The transcript is spliced from 2 exons. The record is from RefSeq and is a predicted model, not a curated record.
GGCACCAGGACAUUGGUUCUAUUGCUGAACAAACACUAAAUAUUCCAGCGGACACCUUGCCAGAAAGGACUGAAAAGGGCUUAGAAAUCCUUAAAAACGAUUGCAAAGGACUAAAAAGCAAAGACAAGAGUAAAACCUGUUUUCCYCAUGGUCUUGUUUGCCCUUCCAUGGACUGAUGAGCUCUGAGCUAUCACGUCAUCAUCAAAAUAUUCACUCUUGUUUUACACGUUUUUCUCUGAUUUGUUAUUUGUAGCUUUUCCCCCAAUGAAWCAAGCAGAGGAAAAGCAGGACUGGGAUAAAUCUCUCUCCCUUUGCUCCCUCCCUGAGCUGGAGGAUUCCUGCAGCGCAUCCAUAUCAGCAGCUCCCCAAGGUUUUGCUCCUGGGCCUUGAGCAGAGCUCCGGGUGCAGGAAUUAGUUGCAAAGGAGCCACAUUUGCAGCCUGGGAGCUCCUGUGCAAGACGCAAUCCAUCGGUAUCAUAAAAGGAGAUGCUCAUUUGCCUCGAGGAGCUGCUGGCCUGAGUUAACCAGGACGAGCGAGACCGGGGCACAGCGGGUAUUUAUGUUAUAACACUGCUCCUCUUGUCUCCAGACAUUCCCAUGAUGUCACUUGGCCAAUUUGGGCCGCUUUCUGCUGAAAAGCAACACUAACAAUAAUACUGCAGUACUACAAAGUGAUAAUUCUGAAAUCUAUCUGUAUUAGAUCAUAUGGCUCUUUAAAUAAAUUGUUUAUGACUGUGUUAACCCAACCUUGUCAAUACAUGCACACAUAAGUAUAUUAAAAACRUAAAUGUUUCCAG